UACGGAGGGUCCGAGCGUUAAUCGGAAUUACUGGGCGUAAAGCGUGCGCAGGCGGUUUGUUAAGCGAGAUGUGAAAGCCCCGGGCUCAACCUGGGAAUUGCAUUUCGAACUGGCGAACUAGAGUCUUGUAGAGGGGGUAGAAUUCCAGGUGUAGCGGUGAAAUGCGUAGAGAUCUGGAGGAAUACCGGUGGCGAAGGCGGCCCCCUGGACAAAGACUGACGCUCAGGCACGAAAGCGUGGGGAGCAAACAGG
This 252-nucleotide ribosomal RNA is filed under the name uncultured bacterium. RNAcentral describes it as "partial 16S ribosomal RNA". It matches the Rfam family "Bacterial small subunit ribosomal RNA", at positions 524 to 776 of the family's 1533-position model. The record is from RNAcentral.